Long non-coding RNA from Triticum urartu, 1172 nucleotides. RefSeq lists it as uncharacterized. Lineage: Eukaryota; Viridiplantae; Streptophyta; Magnoliopsida; Poales; Poaceae. The record is from RefSeq and is a predicted model, not a curated record.
UCACCAACCUGCCCCUAACCUUAUCCCUUCACUAUCUCCCCACUGCUCCCUAUUCCAUGGUGGCUACAAGCCCACAACACACACACACACACACACUCUCUCUCUCUCUACCUCCUUAGGCCGCCCAUCCUCUUCGUCCCCAUCACCGGAGCGAGGUAUCGUAGGCUCGCACUCUCCCCAAUCUUCUCGGCCCCUCCUCGUCGAGUCUGUCGCCGAAGUGCCCAAGGAUCCGCUCGAGCUCGGCAUGGUCGCUGGGCGCGGGACUCAUCUCCAUCAGAUUGGGGGCAGUGGCAAUCGUGCGUCGCAACCUCCGUGCCCGGUGCCUCCAUCUCCAUCUCGCUCGUCGGUGGCUGGUCCCUGCAAGUGCAAGCCGGCGCCAUUAGACGAUCUAUUCCCCACUUCAGCUUUCAUAUCUGCUUGUUUCUGAUGCUUACAAGAAAUGGAUUUUGAAGACCAUCUAACUAUCUAAGAGUCAUGGAAUUCGUUCCAUCCUACAUUUUUGGGACUCUGGAAUAAACACAAAGAUGGGAAUGGGGAUGCAUACCUGCCUGCCAUACACAUUGAGAGGUUUUCAAUACUCAUCCCGAAGCUUUUCAGCGUUGUACAGAAGAAGUGAUUGACAGGUUUACUUCAUGAUAUUCUUGGCUUUUGUUUUGGCCAAAAUGAUCAGGCAGGUGCGUUGCCUGAUGAGUUCGUCGGUGCCUACGUCAGCGGCCGCGGAAGGGGGCGAUGGCCAAAACUAGCUGGGCGGCGAAGGCGCAACAAUGGCUUGCGGCGCCGACGUCUCACUGCAGUGUCUGUCUGAACAGCGACAUCAAAGAAAGACACUGAGAUUAACUGGGAUAGAACCGGCCACAUAUUGCGCACAAGAGGAUAGUCUGCACCUGCUUUCGCGAGAAGCUCUUCGGCGCGGUCGUUGUCCGCGCUGCACGGCUGCGAUGGCGCAGGACAGGCUCUGCGGCUGCGACAUACGUCCGAGUGGGCAAGGGUAGGAAGAUCCAUCUGAUUCCCGUAAGUUUAGCCACUUGUUGUUAGGCAGACGUGUUUAAUUACCGUUAAUUGUGGCUAAUUUUCUGUAGUUUAGCAUUUGUUGUUAGGACACGAACAGAAUUUGUGGAACUGUUCUGAUCUUGCGCGAGCGUGGGUCGGUGGGUCCUGCAGAGUUUUCGUCC